AAUAGUCUCUUAAUUGGAGGCUUGAAUGAACGGUCGGACACGAGGGAAGCUGUCUGCGAUUGAGAAGUGUGAAUUUAACUUUUGUGUGAAAAGGCAUUAAUGCGUUAAUGGGACGAUAAGACCCUAUAAAACUUAACAUUUUAUGGAGCUUUGUGAUUUUAAGGGUAAUAUAGAGUUCAGUAAGUUUGUUGUACUGGGGCGGUAGGAAUAUAAUGUAGUAACUGUUCUAAUUAUUAAAUAACUGUAAUUAGAGUCUGACCCCUGAUUCGGGGUUAUAAGAGUAAGUUACUUUAGGGAUAACAGCGUUAUUUCUCUUGAGAGUUCAUAUCGACAGAGAUAUUUGCGACCUCGAUGUUGAAUUAAAGUUUUUCCCGGGAGUAGAAAUUCGGGUUGUAGGUCUGUUCGACCUUUGAAACUUUA
Molecule: ribosomal RNA, 420 nt
Filed under: Alpheus barbatus
Lineage: Eukaryota; Metazoa; Arthropoda; Malacostraca; Decapoda; Alpheidae
Description: partial large subunit ribosomal RNA
Rfam family: Bacterial large subunit ribosomal RNA
Source: RNAcentral